Molecule: long non-coding RNA, 550 nt
Organism: Mesocricetus auratus (golden hamster)
Lineage: Eukaryota; Metazoa; Chordata; Mammalia; Rodentia; Cricetidae
Exons: 3
Source: RefSeq, a predicted model, not a curated record
UCUCAUAGUUACCAUCUCCUCUCUGUCCCUCCCCAGCAGCUUCCUAGAGCUCAUUAGGUCCUGUGACAGCAGAGGCUACUGCCAGAUGCAAAGCCAGCUACCCUAGGUCAUUUCGGGCCGCUUAUUCGGAAAUACUAGAGCCAGCAAAUUUCAGGAGCUCCUACAGAACUCCCCAGGGCACUAGCAUGUGCGCACAUCUAUGUGGAAUGACAGGGCAUCGUCUUUGCUGUGGUGUACUGUUCCCAGUUCACAGCCGAGGCGGAUUAUUUUCCAAAAACACAUCAGGGAAUUGGCGACACUUUGGAUGAGUGACAAAACUGCAAACGCUGGAAAUCAAACAAAGGCACACAAAACGUGUCUCUACAAAACUGGUUCCUGGGAGCCUGAUGAAGGGUGAGACUCUUGGAAGUUUGGGAUGGUGGGCUGUAGCAAGGAGAGCAGGUUGGCAGACUCCUGAGCUUUAGGCAUUGGCAGACAGCGGCUUCUUCUGCCCCAACUUGGUUUACAAAUGACCUCUGAGGAACAGAAGUGAGCAGCUGAGUGUUUUGGA